RNAcentral lists this unclassified non-coding RNA (305 nucleotides) under plant metagenome. RNAcentral describes it as "partial contains 5.8S ribosomal RNA, internal transcribed spacer 2, and large subunit ribosomal RNA". The stretch from base 1 to 105 matches the Rfam family "5.8S ribosomal RNA", at positions 50 to 154 of the family's 154-position model. The record is from RNAcentral.
GAAAUGCGAUAAGUAGUGUGAAUUGCAUAAUUCAGUGAAUCAUCGAAUCUUUGAACGCACAUUGCGCCCUUUGGUAUUCCUUAGGGCAUGCCUGUUCGAGCGUCAUCUAAACCUUCAAGCCCUGCUUGGUGUUGGGUGCCUGUCCCGCCUCCGCGCGCGGACUCACCUCAAAUCCAUUGGCGGCCCCCGCGUCGGCCACGAGCGCAGCAGAAACGCGAACUCGUGAGCCCGUCCGGGCGGCUCCCAGAAGCUACACCCACCCAGUUUGACCUCGGAUCAGGUAGGGAUACCCGCUGAACUUAAGC